This 303-nucleotide ribosomal RNA is filed under the name uncultured bacterium. RNAcentral's name for it is "partial 16S ribosomal RNA". It matches the Rfam family "Bacterial small subunit ribosomal RNA", at positions 507 to 809 of the family's 1533-position model. The record is from RNAcentral.
AGCAGUAGCCGCGGGAAUACGUAGGUGGCAAGCGUUGUCCGGAAUUAUUGGGCGUAAAGGGCUCGCAGGCGGCUUCUUAAGUCUGAUGUGAAAGCCCCCGGCUCAACCGGGGAGGGUCAUUGGAAACUGGGAAACUUGAGUGCAGAAGAGGAGAGUGGAAUUCCACGUGUAGCGGUGAAAUGCGUAGAGAUGUGGAGGAACACCAGUGGCGAAGGCGACUCUCUGGUCUGUAACUGACGCUGAGGAGCGAAAGCGUGGGGAGCGAACAGGAUUAGAUACCCCGGUAGUCCCUGUCUCUUAUAA